Molecule: ribosomal RNA, 494 nt
Filed under: uncultured bacterium
Lineage: Bacteria
Description: bacterial SSU rRNA
Rfam family: Bacterial small subunit ribosomal RNA
Source: RNAcentral
AUGAACGCUAGCGACAGGCUAACACAUGCAAGUCGAGGGGCAGCACAAGGAGCAAUCUGAGGUGGCGACCGGCGCACGGGUGAGUAACACGUAUGCAACCUGCCUGUAAGCGGGGAAUAACCCGUUGAAAGACGGACUAAUACCGCAUAAUACUAAAUUACUGCAUGGUAAUUUAUUUAAACAUUUAUGGCUUACAGAUGGGCAUGCGCAUGAUUAGCUAGUUGGAGAGGUAACGGCUCCCCAAGGCAACGAUCAUUAGGGGUUCUGAGAGGAAGGUCCCCCACACUGGUACUGAGACACGGACCAGACUCCUACGGGAGGCAGCAGUGAGGAAUAUUGGUCAAUGGACGAGAGUCUGAACCAGCCAAGUCGCGUGCAGGAAGAAUGUCCCUAUGGACUGUAAACUGCUUUUGCAGGGGAAUAAAGUGCAUCACGUGUGAUGUUUUGUAUGUACUCUGCGAAUAAGGAUCGGCUAACUCCGUGCCAGCCGCCGC